This 253-nucleotide ribosomal RNA is filed under the name uncultured bacterium. RNAcentral describes it as "partial 16S ribosomal RNA". It matches the Rfam family "Bacterial small subunit ribosomal RNA", at positions 524 to 776 of the family's 1533-position model. The record is from RNAcentral.
CACGUAGGGCGCAAGCGUUGUCCGGAAUUAUUGGGCGUAAAGAGCUCGUAGGCGGCCUGUUGCGUCCGCUGUGAAAACUCGGGGCUUAACCCCGAGCCUGCAGUGGAUACGGGCAGGCUAGAGGUAGGUAGGGGAGAAUGGAAUUCCCGGUGUAGCGGUGAAAUGCGCAGAUAUCGGGAGGAACACCGGUGGCGAAGGCGGUUCUCUGGGCCUUACCUGACGCUGAGGAGCGAAAGCGUGGGGAGCGAACAGG